This 481-nucleotide ribosomal RNA is filed under the name uncultured bacterium. RNAcentral's name for it is "bacterial SSU rRNA". It matches the Rfam family "Bacterial small subunit ribosomal RNA", at positions 30 to 507 of the family's 1533-position model. The record is from RNAcentral.
AUUGAACGCUGGCGGCAUGCCUUACACAUGCAAGUCGAACGGUAACGGGCCUUCGGGUGCCGACGAGUGGCGAACGGGUGAGUAAUGCAUCGGAACGUACCUUCAGUGGGGGAUAACGUAGCGAAAGUUACGCUAAUACCGCAUAUUCUGUGAGCAGGAAAGCAGGGGAUCGCAAGACCUUGCGCUGAUUGAGCGGCCGAUGUCAGAUUAGCUAGUUGGUGAGGUAAAGGCUCACCAAGGCGACGAUCUGUAGCGGGUCUGAGAGGAUGAUCCGCCACACUGGAACUGAGACACGGUCCAGACUCCUACGGGAGGCAGCAGUGGGGAAUUUUGGACAAUGGGGGCAACCCUGAUCCAGCCAUGCCGCGUGAGUGAAGAAGGCCUUCGGGUUGUAAAGCUCUUUCGGCCGGGAAGAAAUCGUAUGGGUUAAUACCCUGUGCGGAUGACGGUACCGGCAUAAGAAGCACCGGCUAACUACGUG